RNAcentral lists this ribosomal RNA (506 nucleotides) under uncultured bacterium. RNAcentral describes it as "partial 16S ribosomal RNA". It matches the Rfam family "Bacterial small subunit ribosomal RNA", at positions 29 to 523 of the family's 1533-position model. The record is from RNAcentral.
AGUGAACGCUGGCGGUAGGCCUAACACAUGCAAGUCGAACGGCAGCACAGGAGAGCUUGCUCUCUGGGUGGCGAGUGGCGGACGGGUGAGGAAUACAUCGGAAUCUACUCUGUCGUGGGGGAUAACGUAGGGAAACUUACGCUAAUACCGCAUACGACCUACGAGUGAAAGCAGGGGACCUUCGGGCCUUGCGCGAUUGAAUGAGCCGAUGUCGGAUUAGCUAGUUGGCGGGGUAAAGGCCCACCAAGGCGACGAUCCGUAGCUGGUCUGGGAGGAUGAUCAGCCACACUGGAACUGAGACACGGUCCAGACUCCUACGGGAGGCAGCAGUGGGGAAUAUUGGACAAUGGGCGCAAGCCUGAUCCAGCCAUACCGCGUGGGUGAAGAAGGCCUUCGGGUUGUAAGGCCCUUUUGUUGGGAAAGAAAUCCAGCUGGCUAAUACCCGGUUGGGAUGACGGUACCCAAAGAAUAAGCACCGGCUAACUUCGUGCCAGCCGCCGCCGUAA